Molecule: long non-coding RNA, 328 nt
Organism: Larimichthys crocea (large yellow croaker)
Lineage: Eukaryota; Metazoa; Chordata; Actinopteri; Sciaenidae
Exons: 3
Source: RefSeq, a predicted model, not a curated record
GCCAUCAGAAAAGAUUGGCAGCUGGUGGGGAGGCAACAUGUUCACUGUUAACAACAUUGGCCAUAAAGAAGAACUGCACUACAUGCUUGAGGCUGUCUACUAUCCUGACUUCCUCAAGGCUUUCUGACAGGCCAGUACAUCUCAUACAGAUGCUAAAGGAACAUGGCAAAACGAUGAUCUGAGAACAAGAACAGGCUGCAGCUUCUCACUGACCUCACAUUGAGCUCAGAAGACCCUUCCUCUGUCUAUGGCCUGACGACAAAUGGCGGCGCUCAUUUCUCAUCCUCGUUAACCAAGUGGCUAGUCUUCUUAAUGAGCACUAUUAAAG